AUGUUGGAGACUUAUUGCCAUGAAUCGCUAUGUGCAAGGGUCCUACGUGCUAAAUAUUAUCCUACUGGUGAACUGCUCAACUGCAGUUUGAAAAAAGGCUCUUCUUUUGUGUGGCAAAGUAUAUGGGCCGGAGUUCAAACAUUCAAGAAAGGGGGUAUUUGGAGGGUUAGAAACGGCCUGAAGAUAAAUAUAUGGAAGGAUUGUUGGGUGCCGAACUGCUCCUCCAGGAAAAUCAUUACUCCUCGUGGAAACAGAAUGCUAGCCAGGGUGAAUGAGCUCACUGACCCAGCAUCCGGAGAGUGGGAUGAAAAUUUCAUUAGAGAAAACUUCUGGCCUAUUGAUGCUGAUCGUAUAAUGCAAAUUCCCCUGCAUCAUGAUGAUACCGAAGAUUAUGUGGCAUGGCACUUGACGAAAACGGGAGUUUUUACUGUGCGUUCAGCAUAUUACAAACAAUGGGAAGAUUCGUACGGCAAUACUGAGCCGAGCCCUUUCUCGAGUGGACCUACGCCGCAUCCAAUAUGGAAGAAAAUAUGGAGCCUCAAAGUGCCAAAUAAAGUGAAAAUUUUCAUAUGGCGUUCGUUACAUAAUGCCAUCCCUUGUUUUGGUGUGCUCACUGAUCGUCACAUAUCUACUUCGGUGCAAUGCCCGGUCUGCAAAUUGCACGUCGAGGAUGUGACGCAUGCACUCUUCGGUUGCUCGCGGGCCGCAGGAAUAUGGUCUGACUUGGACUACAUGAAAAAAUAG
Molecule: ribosomal RNA, 744 nt
Filed under: Triticum aestivum (bread wheat)
Lineage: Eukaryota; Viridiplantae; Streptophyta; Magnoliopsida; Poales; Poaceae
Description: partial small subunit ribosomal RNA
Source: RNAcentral